Molecule: ribosomal RNA, 1054 nt
Filed under: uncultured bacterium
Lineage: Bacteria
Description: bacterial SSU rRNA
Rfam family: Bacterial small subunit ribosomal RNA
Source: RNAcentral
CUCCUACGGGAGGCAGCAGUGAGGAAUAUUGGUCAAUGGGCGCGAGCCUGAACCAGCCAAGUAGCGUGAAGGAUGAAGGUCCUACGGAUUGUAAACUUCUUUUAUAAGGGAAUAAAGUCGCCUACGUGUAGGCGUUUGUAUGUACCUUAUGAAUAAGCAUCGGCUAACUCCGUGCCAGCAGCCGCGGUAAUACGGAGGAUGCGAGCGUUAUCCGGAUUUAUUGGGUUUAAAGGGAGCGUAGACGGAGGAUUAAGUCAGUUGUGAAAGUUUGCGGCUCAACCGUAAAAUUGCAGUUGAUACUGGUUCCCUUGAGUGCAGUUGAGGCAGGCGGAAUUCGUGGUGUAGCGGUGAAAUGCAUAGAUAUCACGAAGAACCCCGAUUGCGAAGGCAGCCUGCUAAGCUGUAACUGACGUUGAGGCUCGAAAGUGUGGGUAUCAAACAGGAUUAGAUACCCUGGUAGUCCACACGGUAAACGAUGGAUACUCGCUGUUGGCGAUAUACUGUCAGCGGCCAAGCGAAAGCAUUAAGUAUCCCACCUGGGGAGUACGCCGGCAACGGUGAAACUCAAAGGAAUUGACGGGGGCCCGCACAAGCGGAGGAACAUGUGGUUUAAUUCGAUGAUACGCGAGGAACCUUACCCGGGCUUAAAUUGCAGACGAAUUACUUGGAAACAGGUAAGCCGCAAGGCGUCUGUGAAGGUGCUGCGUGGUUGUCGUCAGCUCGUGCCGUGAGGUGUCGGCUUAAGUGCCAUAACGAGCGCAACCCUCGUGGUCAGUUACUAACAGGUCAAGCUGAGGACUCUGGCCAGACUGCCAUCGUAAGAUGCGAGGAAGGUGGGGAUGACGUCAAAUCAGCCCGGCCCUUACGUCCGGGGCUACACACGUGUUACAAUGGGAGGUACAGAAGGCAGCUACCCGGCGACGGGAUGCCAAUCUCCAAAACCUCUCUCAGUUCGGACUGGAGUCUGCAACCCGACUCCACGAAGCUGGAUUCGCUAGUAAUCGCGCAUCAGCCACGGCGCGGUGAAUACGUUCCCGGGCCUUGUACACACCGC